This 498-nucleotide long non-coding RNA is filed under the name Danio rerio (zebrafish). Its description in RNAcentral is "lncRNA si:dkey-23f9.15 (ENSDARG00000104394.2)". The record is from RNAcentral. Lineage: Eukaryota; Metazoa; Chordata; Actinopteri; Cypriniformes; Danionidae.
ACUUUCUAGAUUAAAACUGCAUUUGGCAUAAUACUCUAUAACUAAUUUAUCAAUAAAAAUGCCAUUUUGUACUGGAAGCUUUUUCGCCGUCAAUAUCAGGUGGUAUUAAAAAAUAAUUAACAAUGUCAUAGUCAGAUAUAAUUAAAACAAACAUGAUGAAGCCAGUAAAUCUGGUUGUGACCUACCCGUGUGUUACUUUUGUUUCUGAUGGGGCCAAAAAUUAUAAUGUGCCAUUUAUGUUUAAAGUAAAAUUAUUCUAUAUAUAUAUUUUUUAAUUUGAUAUAUUUUCAAUUAAAUUCAAUAUAUUUCUGUCUAAGGCAUAUUUUUAAAAUAUAGACAUGAAAUUGAGAUGAUUUUUGUAUUUUUGUUUACAAAUAAACUUUCUGAAGUCUGCUAGUAAACUUUUAAUUAUUACUUACUAUUAAUAAUGCAUAGUCAUCAUACAUCUCUAAAUCUUUAUUUCUUCAGUUUUACAUUUAGAAAGACAAAUCAAAGUUU